UUUCCGUAGGUGAACCUGCGGAAGGAUCAUUAUUGUAUAACCGAGGUGCGAGGGCUGUCGCUGACCCGAAAGGUCGUGCACACCCGAGUGCCCUCACACACAUUCAUCUCACCCCUAUGUGCACCACCGCGUGGGUCCCCCUUUGGCUUGUUCGGAGGGGGGCUUACGUUUUCACACAAACUUUGUAUGCAGUGUAGAAUGUAUUUUUUGUUUUUGCGAUCACGCAAUCAAUACAACUUUCAACAACGGAUCUCUUGGCUCUC
RNAcentral lists this unclassified non-coding RNA (263 nucleotides) under plant metagenome. RNAcentral describes it as "partial contains small subunit ribosomal RNA, internal transcribed spacer 1, and 5.8S ribosomal RNA". The record is from RNAcentral.